AGCAGCCGCGGUAAUUCCAGCUCCAAUAGCGUAUAUUAAAGUUGUUGCAGUUAAAAAGCUCGUAGUUGAAUUUCGGAGUUCUACCGUCGGUCGGGCUACCAAGUCUGUACUGGUGUGUAGAAUUCCUACCUUCUGGGAACUAUCAUGUUAUUAAUUUAGCGUGGUGGGAAACCAGGACCUUUACCUUGAAAAAAUUAGAGUGUUCAAAGCAGGCUUAUGUCUGAAUACAUUAGCAUGGAAUAAUAGAAUAGGACGGUGGUCCUGUUUUGUUGGUUUCUGAAUCACCGUAAUGAUUAAUAGGGAUAGUUGGGGGCAUUAGUAUUCAAUUGUCAGAGGUGAAAUUCUUGGAUUUAUUGAAGACUAACUUCUGCGAAAGCAUUUGCCAAGGAUGUUUUCAUUAAUCAAGAACGAAAGUUAGGGGAUCGAAGACGAUCAGAUACCGUCGUAGUCUUAACCAUAAACUAUGCCGACUAGGGAUCGGACGAUGUUAAAUUUAUUGACUCGUUCGGCNCCGUUACGG
Molecule: ribosomal RNA, 520 nt
Filed under: uncultured Scutellospora
Lineage: Eukaryota; Fungi; Glomeromycota; Glomeromycetes; Diversisporales; Gigasporaceae
Description: SSU rRNA
Rfam family: Eukaryotic small subunit ribosomal RNA
Source: RNAcentral